This is a long non-coding RNA of Manis pentadactyla (Chinese pangolin), 567 nucleotides long. RefSeq lists it as uncharacterized. Lineage: Eukaryota; Metazoa; Chordata; Mammalia; Pholidota; Manidae. The record is from RefSeq and is a predicted model, not a curated record. The transcript has 3 exons.
CUGCCCCAAAAUAUAACCACAUCAGCCGUUCCCAUAGUGGGAAUAAAUUUUCUGCCUCCAAAAUAUCAGCUGGGCUGAGGAGAGCUCUGCACUGGCUUACUAACCAGCCAUAUGGACUUUCCAUUUCAGGCUCAUGUACUACAUGGUGCUGUGCAUAGGUGCGGAGACUUCCUGUUUGCUUUCUUUACUAGGAAAUUGUUGAAGAUGCUUUGUUUCUCUACUACUCGUACUUGAUCAAUAUUUUAACCCUCCCCCAGAGUAAAAGCCUUGGAGAAUGAAAGUCACAUCUCUUUUGGUGGGAAGCCAAGCUUUUCCUGUGAUGACUGAUAGAAGAAUGAAAGGAUUCAGGCUCCUAGGUUAAAAAAUGAGAUGCAGUGAAGUUGGAUUGUUCAAGGUCACAUGAUGGAGCCAGCAUCCUGGAGAGGGGGUUAAGCAUCAUUGGGGAAGUGAGGAGAGAAAGAAGAUUGCAGAGGAAAAGGAUUUCCAGCACCUAUGCAAGACAGACUCUGAAAGAAAAGAUGGUCAGCUGACAACUCAUUGGAAAAUAAAUAUUUCACCUUACUAGUA